Molecule: non-coding RNA, 177 nt
Filed under: Fragilariopsis kerguelensis
Lineage: Eukaryota; Bacillariophyta; Bacillariophyceae; Bacillariales; Bacillariaceae
Source: RNAcentral
GCGGCGAUCUUGCCGAUGAACUUAGGGAUGUGAAAGUUAAAUCAUUCUCCAAUUCAAAAUGCAACUCCUUUUAUGGUGGGAAUCAAAUCAAGUCUUCUAUGAUUUGUGCGGGGUACAAAAAAGGCAAAAAAGAUGCUUGUCAAGGUGAUUCGGGUGGUCCUCUUGUGAAAGUGGAUG